CCUUCAAAACAAAAAUUUACUAAAUUUUUACAAUGGUCAAUAUGUUUAUCAUGUUUAUGUGUUAUAAAAAAAUGCAAUAUAUAAUAAUUUCCAUUAUUGAAAGUUUACAUGAAUAAAGUUAAUCUCUCGACACUCUAGUAACCAUUUUAAAACAAACGUAUCAACGCUGCAAACCCGAAAGUCUGGCAUCUCGGACUCCUCCCUCGGAUGACCUAAAUAUGCACGCAUUACUUCCACACAACAAUUACAGUGAUACACAGAUAUUAAUGGCAUUUCCUAGUAGACAAACAUAUAUCAUUAUAAAUAGCUGAAUACACAUUUGAUAAUAUCAUCAGAGACCUUAAAC
Molecule: long non-coding RNA, 346 nt
Filed under: Mytilus galloprovincialis (Mediterranean mussel)
Lineage: Eukaryota; Metazoa; Mollusca; Bivalvia; Mytilida; Mytilidae
Source: RNAcentral